This 953-nucleotide long non-coding RNA is filed under the name Mustela putorius furo (domestic ferret). Its description in RNAcentral is "lncRNA (ENSMPUG00000024201.1)". Lineage: Eukaryota; Metazoa; Chordata; Mammalia; Carnivora; Mustelidae. The record is from RNAcentral.
AUGUGUUUGAAAAAACUGAAAAUCAUAGAAACAUCAGGGCAGAUUAAGAAAGACAGACUGGGGGGACGCCUGGGUGGCUCAGUUGGUCGGGCAGCUGCCUUCGGCUCAGGUCAUGAUCCCAGGGUUCUGGGAUCAAGCCCCACAUUGGGCUCCCUGCUCAGCAGGAAGCCUGUUUCUCCCUCUCCCACCCACCCCUGCUUGUGUUCCUUUUUUCGCUGUGUCUCUCUCUGUCAAAUAAAAUCUUUAAAAAAAGAAAAUCUUUUUAAAAAAGAAUCCCAUGUUUUCCAGAUGCAAAAUAGCAUUUUAAUGAUAGAGUGCCUAAUUCCUGUCUGCUAAAUUGAGAAUUUUUCAUGAUAUGAGAGGGAACUUAAAACAAAAAGUGGCUUUGUUUAGAAUAUGCCCACACUUUUCCCAGAGAAUAAAAGAUGGAGAAACUGCUAGCAAAAAAGCCAGAACACUGAGGGAAUUAGUUCAGGCUUAUCCAGUUUUCUUCAGGGAUAUAGUCUCAGCAUGUUUUGAGUCUUUAAGUCAUGAGAACGCUAUCCUUUCCCCACAAGAAUAUUUCUAGUCAUUUGGAUAACUAACCCAAAACCCUAUAACCCAAACUUAUUCUACAUUUUUAGGCCCAUUCUGGAGGGCUAGGGCUGGAUAGGGUGAGUCAGUCCGGUUCCAAACAUCAUCCUGCCUUUAUGGUUUGGGUAUUUAUAUUAAAGGGUUUCAGGAACAGAAAACAAAGAACUGGUCUUGGAACUCCAGAUUAAGUACAUAGAAUAUAGGUUGAAUCUCUGAAACCAGCUAGGUAGAAUCCAUUGCAUUUCUGUACCACCAGAGCAUGGCAGACAAAAGAAUAUCUCUCUUAAUCAUUCACUGAAUGUCAUCAGAGCAGGUCCCCAGUUGCUUUGAAAUUCAUCAGUGAAUUUGCACCCAGGUCAUGUCUUCCAAGGGCUGGUUCC